GACGAACGCUGGCGGCGUGCUUAACACAUGCAAGUCGAACGGAAAGGCCCUGCGCUUGUGGGGUGCUCGAGUGGCGAACGGGUGAGUAACACGUGAGUAACCUGCCCUCGACUUUGGGAUAACUUCAGGAAAGUGGGGUUAAUACCGGAUAGGAGCAUCAGCUGCAUGGUGGGGGUUGGAAAGUUUCGGCGGUUGGGGAUGGACUCGCGGCUUGUCAGCUUGUUGGUGGGGUAGUGGCUUACCAAGGCUUUGACGGGUAGCCGGCCUGAGAGGGUGACCGGCCACAUUGGGACUGAGAUACGGCCCAGCCUCCUACGGGAGGCAGCAGUGGGGAAUAUUGCACAAUGGGCGGAAGCCUGAUGCAGCAACGCCGCGUGCGGGAUGACGGCCUUCGGGUUGUAAACCGCUUUCGCCUGUGACGAAGCGUGAGUGACGGUAAUGGGUAAAGAAGCACCGGCUAACUACGUG
RNAcentral lists this ribosomal RNA (468 nucleotides) under uncultured bacterium. RNAcentral describes it as "partial 16S ribosomal RNA". It matches the Rfam family "Bacterial small subunit ribosomal RNA", at positions 28 to 507 of the family's 1533-position model. The record is from RNAcentral.